Molecule: unclassified non-coding RNA, 209 nt
Filed under: Hevea brasiliensis (rubber tree)
Lineage: Eukaryota; Viridiplantae; Streptophyta; Magnoliopsida; Malpighiales; Euphorbiaceae
Source: RNAcentral
GUUUUUAAGAUUUUUUUAUAAUUUUAUUUGAUAAUACGUUCAUCUUUUGUAUGCUUUUGGUUAGUGAUGGCAGGCUAAUUAAAAAGACCCUAGCCAGGAAAAAGGUUCCUUAGACUGGCGAUGAGGAAUCUUAGCAUGGACUUCAGAUUUUUUUUUCCUUCUUCUUUAUUUGCAUGUAUCUGUAAGAACAAGUCCUUCACCUGCAGCAU